Molecule: ribosomal RNA, 301 nt
Filed under: uncultured bacterium
Lineage: Bacteria
Description: partial 16S ribosomal RNA
Rfam family: Bacterial small subunit ribosomal RNA
Source: RNAcentral
CAGCCGCCGCGGUAAUACAGAGGUCUCAAGCGUUGUUCGGAAUCACUGGGCGUAAAGGGUGCGUAGGUGGCGUGGUAAGUCAGAUGUGAAAGCCCGGGGCUCAACCUCGGAACAGCAUCCGAUACUGCCGUGCUAGAGUACUGAAGAGGUGACUAGAAUUCUCGGUGUAGCAGUGAAAUGCGUAGAUAUCGAGAGGAAUACCAAAGGCGAAGGCAGGUCACUGGGCAGUUACUGACACUGAGGCACGAAGGCCAGGGGAGCAAACGGGAUUAGAUACCCGCGUAGUCCCUGUCUCUUAUAC